CAGUCUGGACACACCUCCAUCUGCAGUCUGGACACACCUCCAUCUGCAGUCUGGUCACACCUCCAUCUGCAGUCUGGACACACCUCCAUCUGCAGUCUGGACACACCUCCAUCUGCAGUCUGGUCACACCUCCAUCUGCAGUCUGGACACACCUCCAUCUGUAGUCUGGACACACCUCCAUCUGCAGUCUGGUCACACCCCCAUCUGUAGUCUGGACACACCUCCAUCUGCAGUCUGGUCACAACCCCAUCUGUAGUCUGGACACACACCCGUCUGUAGACUGGACACACCCCCAUGAGUCUGGACACCCCUCCAUCUGAAGUCUGGUCACAUCUCCAUCUGCAGUCUGGACACACCCCCAUAUGCGGUCUGGACACACCCCCAUAUGAAGUCUGGACACACCCCCAUAUGAAGUCUGGACACACCCCCAUAUGACAUUUGGACACGACCCCAUCUGAAGUCUCCGCCCACCACCUGUCCUUAAUUGUCGGACACCACCCCACCCCUCAACGCUUUCCCUGUUUUCCAUGGACACACAUGAAUGUGCAUGUGCCUGCGCGCACGCUUAUCCACACAAACAUAUGCAAACACACACACACACGUGCGCGUGCAUACCUAAAGCCUAGGGCAUUAGCGUCAUGCUAGCAUUGACUAAGGAAGCUGUAUCAGGCAGUAACACCAUUAUGAAGUGACUAAACAGCAGUAACACCAUUAUGAAGUAACAAAACUGCAGUAACACCAUUAUGAAGUAACAAACCAGCAGUAACACCAUUAUGAAGUAACAAAACAUCAGUAACACCAUUAUGAAGUAACAAAACAGCAGUAACACCAUUAUGAAGUAACAAAACAGCAGUAACACCAUUAUGAAGUAACAAAACAGCAGUAACACCAUUAUGAAGUAACAAAACAGCAGUAACACCAUUAUGAAGUAACAAAACAUCAGUAACACCAUUAUGAAACAAUUAACAGCAGUAACACCAUUAUGAAGUAACAAAACAGCAGUAACACCAUUAUGAAGUGACAAAACAGCAGUAACACCAUUAUGAAACUACAAAACAGCAGUAACACCAUUAUGAAGUGACAAAACAGCAGUAACACCAUUAUGAAGUGACAAAACAGCAGUAACACCAUUAUGAAACGACAAAACAGCAGUAACACCAUUAUGAAGUGACAAAACAGCAGUAACACCAUUAUGACGUGACAAAACAGCAGUAACACCAUUAUGAAGUGACAAAACAGCAGUAACACCAUUAUGAAGUGACAAAACAGCAGUAACACCAUUAUGAAAUAACAAAACAGCAGUAACACCAUUAUGAAGUGACUAAACAGCAGUAACACCAUUAUGAAAGAACAAAACAUCUGUAACGUUUAUUUGAUUCACAGCACUUUAUCUUGUAUUUGAUUCACAGCACUUUGUCUUGUAUUUGAUUCACAGCACUUUGUCUUGUAUUUGAUUCACAGCACUUUGUCUUGUAUUUGAUUCACAGC
This is a long non-coding RNA of Oncorhynchus tshawytscha (Chinook salmon), 1488 nucleotides long. Lineage: Eukaryota; Metazoa; Chordata; Actinopteri; Salmoniformes; Salmonidae. The record is from Ensembl.